Molecule: transfer RNA, 69 nt
Filed under: Eurytoma sp. ZJUH_2016013
Lineage: Eukaryota; Metazoa; Arthropoda; Insecta; Hymenoptera; Eurytomidae
Description: tRNA-Ala
Source: RNAcentral
UGGAAUAUAGUUAAAUUAUAACAUUUAUUUUGCAUUUAAAAAUUAAUUUUAUUAAAAAUUUUAUUCUAA